AUUGAACGCUGGCGGCAGGCCUAACACAUGCAAGUCGAACGAGUGGCGGACGGGUGAGUAAUGUCUGGGAAACUGCCUGAUGGCGGGGGAUAACUACUGGAAACGGUAGAUAAUACCUCAUACCAUCAGAUGUGCCCAGAUGGGUUUAGCUUGUAUGUGGGGUAACGGCGCACCAAGGCGACGAUCCCUAGCUGGUCUGAGAGGAUGACCAGCCACACUGGAACUGAGACACGGUCCAGCCUCCUACGGGAGGCAGCAGUGGGGAAUAUUGCACAAUGGGGGCAAGCCUGAUGCAGCAAUGCCGCGUGUAUGAAGAAGGCCGUCGGGUUGUAAAGUACUUUCAGCGGGGAGGCGUUACCCGCAGAAGAAGCACCGGCUAACUCCGUGCCAGCAGCCGCGGUAAUUC
This 406-nucleotide ribosomal RNA is filed under the name uncultured bacterium. RNAcentral describes it as "partial 16S ribosomal RNA". It matches the Rfam family "Bacterial small subunit ribosomal RNA", at positions 30 to 526 of the family's 1533-position model. The record is from RNAcentral.